RNAcentral lists this non-coding RNA (63 nucleotides) under unclassified sequences. RNAcentral's name for it is "Na+-I sequence". It matches the Rfam family "Na+ riboswitch aptamer (DUF1646)". From Rfam's summary of the family: Proteobacteria, NC10, Acidobacteria, Verrucomicrobia. Lineage (Clostridia) The riboswitch of Na+ was first reported in a comparative analysis of intergenic regions and called DUF1646 RNA, it was also suggested that it acts as cis-reg RNA present upstream of Na+ genes. The record is from Rfam by way of RNAcentral.
GGUUGGGCGGUGCUGCUUUUGAAGGUGCCGUUUUCAAGAAAUUUGCUUUUUGGGUGGAAAGCU